GGGCCCAAGAUUUCUACCCAUUUGCUGAGGGUGGGCGGCGGCAAGUAGGCUGUCCUGGCUUGGGAUGGGCCAUGGGAGGAAAGGAGGAAGAAGCAGCUUUCUCGGUGAAACAGGGGAGGGGUUCUGUGAGAACCCUCUUUUCCAAGAGCAGAGAGGACAGCUCCCCAACAAUGGGGGGCGGGGUUUUGCUGGAAUGACGCAGGCUGGCCUCGAACUUGCACUUGCGAGUCUCUUCCCUCAGCCUCUUGAGUGCUGGUAUUACAGGCAUGCACCACCAAGCCUGGCUCAAAAAUUUUUUUUUCAGAGAGAGAACUGACUGUUCCAUCUAAGGGCCUUGAUGGUGACACGUGGGUUCUGAGUGAGGGACUGACGCGGGCUUUGUUCCCAGGGCAUGGCAUCCACUCCUGUCAAGAAGGAGGAAAACAGCUGGCCUUCCGAGGCCGCAAUGGCCUUGAGUGGAGGCUGGUUGAGCGUUGUCGGUGCUGGAGGUGGGAGUGUGCGGAGUAAGGAGCUGCCGGGCAGAGCCACCCAAGCCUGGGUUGAGCCACAAGCACCAAGAUGCUGGUCUUGAUCCUGAGCUUGGGGCCCGGGGGCCACCGAAGGUCGUUCCCACAGGUCUGGGACUGUUUGGCCAGAUCCCAGGCUCAACCCUUCAAUGCCAGACUGCUCAGCCCCUGGCUGACCUCUGACUGAGCUCGAGUUCCCAGGCUGAGCCCAUCUACUUCUCUCCCCUGAAGGCCUCAUUGUCCUGUUCUGAGGAGUCCCUGACUCGGAUCAGCACUGAACUCACAGAAGAGGCCUUGUUUAUCACUCACUGCCACAUGUACCCUGUGCCCCUCAAGCGAAAGCAGACAAAAGACCAAGGGACUCAGAUAUCAAAACAUGGUGAUCCUCAACUCAGGACCCUGCCACACGCCUAGUUCCAGUCCCUGAUCCCCUCUGGCCACCGCUGCCCUCUCCAGGAACCUGUCCAUGUCACAUGUCUGAGCCUGCGGGAGGCACAGUGCCCCCCACUAACCCCAUGCCCACCCCUCCCUGUGGCCAGGAAUCCCCUUGGCCUCUCUGCCUUAGUCCCUUUCCGGUUGAGGGGAUAGACAUUUCUCUGACUGGGCCUCUCUUCAGCGUUCUUCACCAAGACCGGAGGAACAGACACCCAGUGACUCCGACAGAAACUGCACUCGCACCAAGGCGCGCCUCCUGCCAGCCGCUCGAGAAAAGAACACGCCUCCAAAUGCCCCUGGUAAGGCGACUCAUUAAGCACUUCAUGCAGAGAGGAACUCCUGGUCUUGAGCAGUGUCACCUCUGAAGCCAACAGUCUCUUGGAACUGUCACCUGACUCCAUUCCCAGCCAGCAAGGUCUCCACCGCUGAGAAGAACAGACUUCAAUAAAGAGCUGGGAAGCCCCCCACCCAGCUGGUACUCUGGUAUGGCUCCUCUGGGAUUGAGGUGUGGGAGGACGAGCAGAGCCCUCUUUUUCCAGAUAUGGAUGCUGAGUGUGGGCUCGUGACAGGAAUGGCUUUGGCCCGGCAGUUGUCUGUCCUGUUAGAAGCUCAUGGUGAGCUCAUGGAUCCAAACCCAUCCUGCCUGGGGGCGGCAUCUGGGAGGGGGCCCCCACCCUUGCUUCUGAGGAAUAACUGUGGCCUCCGCUACUGUUGCCAAGGAGCCUGAGCCAUGGUCUCUGGCCCUGAGCUUUGGGCCUCCUGUCUAGGGGAGCAUCUCACACCCGGCACUAGCCAGAAGUCAGUGCAGCAGUCCUCAGGGUGUUUUCAUUUCAGGGGUGCGUGGCCACUUAUUUGGGCCACCUGAGGAUGUCAGUUUCCCUCUCUGAGCCUGUUUCCUUAUCCAAAAAGAAUAGUAAAUUGGCCCAGUUUCACAGGGCACUUGUGAGGUUUAGAAAAAUAAUGUUGCCAGAGAAAGGGAUGCAUGCCUGUCAGCCCAGCCACUUGGGAGGCUGAGGCAGGAGGAUGUCAAGUUCAAAGCCAGCCUGAGCAGCUUAGUAAGACCUUGUCUCAAAAUAAAAAGGGCUAGAGAUGUAGCUCAAUGCUCCCUGGGUUCAAUCUCCAGUACCACAAAACAAAAACUCUGUUGCAUGCAAAGUGCUUAACAGAGCAUGGCUUAAAGAGGAAUUUAAAACCAAGUGUGGUGGUGCACGUCUGUGAUCCCAGCACUCUGGAGGCUGAGACAGGAGGAUUGCCGAAAGUUCAAGGCCAGCCUGGGUUACAGUGAGUUCAAGGCCGGCCUGGAAUACAUAGUGAGAGCCCAUCUCACAAAACAAGCAAAAGCUGGGGAUCUAACUCAGUGGUUCCAGCACCUGCCUCACAAGUGCAAGGUCACAAGUUCGAUCCCCAGUACCAAAAAAACAAAACAAAAAAGGAAUUUAAACUAUUCUGAUUCUGAUGGUAGGCCUCAUGUUCUCCUAAAAUUCACCCCUUUCUUGAGUAUCCAAUCAUCCCUUCACUGUCUUAAACAUAACAUGUUCAGUUGAACUUUAAUGUAUAAUUUUGUUAAGUAAAAUUCAGUUAAUUUCAAGAAAUACCCUUCAGACAGGCUCAGUGGUGGAGUACGUGCUUGGUGUGUGUGCAGCAGUAAACUGCUUAUCAUAUUCAAGUUUAUUGAACACUAUAGGAGAGGACACCUUGGCUCAUACUUGGUAGAUGUGUAACAGCAGUUGCCAAGAAUUUAGAUGGGGCAGAAUGGUGCAUCUGAGUGAGAACAAAAGUUCUCAAAAGGAGGUGGACGUUCUUGAGAGAGACCUGUGGAAUCCUGGGAACUUUCAUGGAACUGUCCAUGAAAUAACAAAGCUGGCUGCUGCUGCCAAACAGUGACGGGGAGGGAGGCCACUGUCAGCUGUCCCAGCUGCAGGUACCUGGCAGUGCCAAGACCCGGGGCAGAGCUGUCCCAGUCAGUCCUCCCAGAGG
Molecule: non-coding RNA, 2918 nt
Organism: Heterocephalus glaber (naked mole-rat)
Lineage: Eukaryota; Metazoa; Chordata; Mammalia; Rodentia; Bathyergidae
Source: RefSeq, a predicted model, not a curated record